Molecule: small RNA, 568 nt
Filed under: Pan troglodytes (chimpanzee)
Lineage: Eukaryota; Metazoa; Chordata; Mammalia; Primates; Hominidae
Description: processed transcript
Source: RNAcentral
AGUCACGAUGAGUACCAAGGUCCAGCAGGCAUGGGAGGUAGACAGAGUGGAGGACUGACAGGGAGAUUUACGUGAACCAGGCCUUCAUCAGUCACGAGGCCUCACCAGACAAUGAGGUGUGUUUUCAGAACAUUUAAUUAAAAGAUACGAUGUUCAAGAGAGACAUCCAAAGGGCAAAAUGAUCCCUGUUCUUCAUAACACUGACCUGGAACAGAAAAAGCCAAGGAGAAAAGACACACCUGCCCUGCACAUGUCCCCCUUUGCAGCAGGUGUGACAUUGCUCAGGGACGAGAGACCCAAAGCAAUCGUGGAAGACGACGAAAAGGAUGGUGACAAGAUAGCUAUUUAAAGAUAGUUCCCCUGAGACCACUUGUAAAUAGGUUAGAUUGGUUCCCUGUGGUGACCUAGAGAAAAAAUAGACUUGUUUCUGCUCUCAUUUUUGUCAUCGUCUGACUUUAAGAUUCAGACACCUUCUCCCCAGGAGAUUGGAAAAGAAACAGAUCAUCCUAAAUGAGGAGGUAACAGGGAAAGCACUGGGGUUCGGUUUCUGCAUCUUCUGGAUCAAUUC